GCUUGCACCUUUCAAGUGAGUGGCGAACGGGUGAGUAACACGUGGACAACCUGCCUCAAGGCUGGGGAUAACAUUUGGAAACAGAUGCUAAUACCGAAUAAAACUUAGUGUCGCAUGACACAAAGUUAAAAGGCGCUUCGGCGUCACCUAGAGAUGGAUCCGCGGUGCAUUAGUUAGUUGGUGGGGUAAAGGCCUACCAAGACAAUGAUGCAUAGCCGAGUUGAGAGACUGAUCGGCCACAUUGGGACUGAGACACGGCCCAAACUCCUACGGGAGGCUGCAGUAGGGAAUCUUCCACAAUGGGCGAAAGCCUGAUGGAGCAACGCCGCGUGUGUGAUGAAGGCUUUCGGGUCGUAAAGCACUGUUGUAUGGGAAGAACAGCUAGAAUAGGAAAUGAUUUUAGUUUGACGGUACCAUACCAGAAAGGGACGGCUAAAUACGUGCCAGCAGCCGCGGUAAUACGUAUGUCCCGAGCGUUAUCCGGAUUUAUUGGGCGUAAAGCGAGCGCAGACGGUUUAUUAAGUCUGAUGUGAAAGCCCGGAGCUCAACUCCGGAAUGGCAUUGGAAAACUGGUUAACUUGAGUGCAGUAGAGGUAAGUGGGAACUCCAUGUGUAGCGGUGGAAUGCGUAGAUAUAUGGAAGAACACC
RNAcentral lists this ribosomal RNA (648 nucleotides) under Leuconostoc mesenteroides. RNAcentral describes it as "bacterial SSU rRNA". It matches the Rfam family "Bacterial small subunit ribosomal RNA", at positions 78 to 710 of the family's 1533-position model. The record is from RNAcentral. Lineage: Bacteria; Bacillati; Bacillota; Bacilli; Lactobacillales; Lactobacillaceae.